Molecule: ribosomal RNA, 515 nt
Filed under: uncultured bacterium
Lineage: Bacteria
Description: partial 16S ribosomal RNA
Rfam family: Bacterial small subunit ribosomal RNA
Source: RNAcentral
GAUGGACGCUGGCGGCGUGCCUAAUACAUGCAAGUCGAGCGAAUGGAUUAAGAGCUUGCUCUUAUGAAGUUAGCGGCGGACGGGUGAGUAACACGUGGGUAACCUGCCCAUAAGACUGGGAUAACUCCGGGAAACCGGGGCUAAUACCGGAUAACAUUUUGAACCGCAUGGUUCGAAAUUGAAAGGCGGCUUCGGCUGUCACUUAUGGAUUGACCCGCGUCGCAUUAGCUAGUUGGUGAGGUAACGGCUCACCAAGGCAACGAUGCGUAGCCGACCUGGGAGGGUGAUCGGCCACACUGGGACUGAGACACGGCCCAGACUCCUACGGGAGGCAGCAGUAGGGAAUCUUCCGCAAUGGACGAAAGUCUGACGGAGCAACGCCGCGUGAGUGAUGAAGGCUUUCGGGUCGUAAAACUCUGUUGUUAGGGAAGAACAAGUGCUAGUUGAAUAAGCUGGCACCUUGACGGUACCUAACCAGAAAGCCACGGCUAACUACGUGCCAGCAGCCGCGGUAA